This 221-nucleotide ribosomal RNA is filed under the name uncultured bacterium. RNAcentral describes it as "partial 16S ribosomal RNA". It matches the Rfam family "Bacterial small subunit ribosomal RNA", at positions 114 to 334 of the family's 1533-position model. The record is from RNAcentral.
CGCGUAAAGAACUUGCCUCACAGCUAGGGACAACAUUUAGAAAUGAAUGCUAAUACCUGAUAUUAUGAUUUUAAGGCAUCUUAGAAUUAUGAAAGCUAUAAGCACUGUGAGAGAGCUUUGCGUCCCAUUAGCUAGUUGGAGAGGUAACAGCUCACCAAGGCGAUGAUGGGUAGCCGGCCUGAGAGGGUGAACGGCCACAAGGGAACUGAGACACGGCCCUU